CCAGUCCUGCCGAAAGUCUAAGACAAGUU
This 29-nucleotide non-coding RNA is filed under the name Mus musculus (house mouse). The record is from RNAcentral. Lineage: Eukaryota; Metazoa; Chordata; Mammalia; Rodentia; Muridae.